GGCUGACACAUUUUAUAUCUCUAGGAUAUGAUUUUAUACUUAUUAGGUAGUUAUAUUAUCAUUCUUGUUUAUGUGUCCAUGAAUCAUUCAAUGAAUUAGCAAGAUGAUGACACAUAUUCUCAAAAAGUUGAGAAUUUGAGACAUGUGUCAUUAAUAGUUAAUUCCUAAAUUGCUCCUGAUCAUAGGAUCAUCAUGGGGAUGGUGACUGAUUCGGAUAGAUCAGUGCAUGGAUCAUUUCUUUCGGAUAGAUGGAUCUCGAGUCUGCAAUGUAGAGACCUGGAGCG
RNAcentral lists this long non-coding RNA (284 nucleotides) under Elaeis guineensis (African oil palm). RNAcentral's name for it is "long non-coding RNA (EGUI_LNC057051)". Lineage: Eukaryota; Viridiplantae; Streptophyta; Magnoliopsida; Arecales; Arecaceae. The record is from RNAcentral.